CAAUAGCGUAUAUUAAAGUUGUUGCAGUUAAAAAGCUCGUAGUUGGAUUUCUGGUGGGAGCGAUCGGUCUGGCGCUUAGCGCGAGUACUUGCAUCGUCUCCGGCCAUCCUUGGGGAGAGUCUGUCUGGCAUUAGGUUGUCGGGCAGAGGAUCCUCAUCGUUUACUGUGAAAAAAUCAGAGUGUUCAAAGCAGGCUUAUGCCGUUGAAUAUAUUAGCAUGGAAUAAUAAGAUAGGACUUUGGUACUAUUUUGUUGGUUUGCGCACCAAAGUAAUGAUUAAUAGGGACAGUUGGGGGUAUUCGUAUUCCGUUGUCAGAGGUGAAAUUCUUGGAUUUACGGAAGACGAACUACUGCGAAAGCAUUUACCAAGGAUGUUUUCAUUAA
RNAcentral lists this ribosomal RNA (383 nucleotides) under uncultured eukaryote. RNAcentral describes it as "partial 18S ribosomal RNA". It matches the Rfam family "Eukaryotic small subunit ribosomal RNA", at positions 592 to 976 of the family's 1831-position model. The record is from RNAcentral.